This 491-nucleotide ribosomal RNA is filed under the name uncultured bacterium. Its description in RNAcentral is "partial 16S ribosomal RNA". It matches the Rfam family "Bacterial small subunit ribosomal RNA", at positions 29 to 506 of the family's 1533-position model. The record is from RNAcentral.
AGUGAACGCUGGCGGUAGGCCUAAUACAUGCAAGUCGAACGGCAGCACAGUAAGAGUUUGCUCUUACGGGUGGCGAGUGGCGGAUGGGUGAGGCAUACAUCGGCAUCCUCUUUUUCGUGGGGGACAUCGUAGGGCAACUUCUGCUAAUACAGAAUAUGUCCAACGGGUGAAAGCAGGGGUUAAUCGGACCUUUCGCGUCUGAUUGAGCCGAUGCCGGUUUGGCUGGUUGGCGGGGUAAGGGCCCACCAUGGCAACGAUCCGUUGCUGGUCCGAGGGGAUGAUCGGCCACACUGGAACUGGGACACGGUCCAGACUCCUACGGGAGGCAGCAGUGGGAAAUAUUGGACAAGGGGCGCAAGCCUACGCCAGCCAGACCGCGUAGGUGAAGAAGGCCUUCGAGUGGUAAAGCCCGUUUGUAGGGAAAGAAAAGCAGCAGGUUAAGACCCCGCUGUUCGGACGGUACCCAAAGGAUAAGCACCGGCUAACUUCGU